This 391-nucleotide long non-coding RNA is filed under the name Populus trichocarpa (black cottonwood). Its description in RNAcentral is "long non-coding RNA (PTRI_LNC003793)". The record is from RNAcentral. Lineage: Eukaryota; Viridiplantae; Streptophyta; Magnoliopsida; Malpighiales; Salicaceae.
AGAAAAAGAAAAAGAAAAUAUGAAUAUAUAAAAAAAUAAAACAAAAAAGUCAAUUACAAUUAACUUUUUAAACCAUGAUCAGGUUAUAAGACCGAAAAUACUAUAUAUAAAAAACUUAUUAGGGUUAAAAUCACAAAAAAAAAACAACACAAAAAACCCAAAAUAAAAAAAAAUACAAUAAAAAUAAUGAGUGUUAAAAUUACAAUAAAAAAUAAAUUAAAAAGCAACAAAAAAUUUUAAAUUUGAGAGUGAAAUUGAAAAGAAUAAAAAGCAUUAACAAAAGGACAAAAAUCAAAAGAACAAAGAAAAAAAAAACAAUACACUAUAAAUUUAGAUUAAAGGGUAAAACUAAAAACAAUGAAACUUUCAUAAAAGAUUCAAGGAAAAAAAA